RNAcentral lists this ribosomal RNA (292 nucleotides) under uncultured bacterium. RNAcentral's name for it is "partial 16S ribosomal RNA". The record is from RNAcentral.
GGACUACUGGGGUUUCUAAUCCCGUUCGCUCCCCUAGCUUUCGUGUCUCAGUGUCAGCACACCCCCAGCGAGCUGUUUUCACCAUUGGCGUUCCAAAUGAUAUCUACGCAUUUCACCGCUCCACCAUUUGUUCCGCUCGCCCCUAGGUGGCUCAAGACUGGCAGUAUACCAAGCCGUUCCACGGUUAAGCCGUGGGAUUUCACAAGGUACUUACCUGUCCACCUACACACGCUUUAAGCCCAGUGAUUCCGCCUAACGCUUGGCACCUCUGUCUUACCGCGGCUGCUGGCAC